ACAGCUGUGGCCUACUGGUUAGGGCUUCAGGCUUGUAACUCAAGGAUUGCCAGUUCGAUUCCUGACCAGUAGGA
This 74-nucleotide transfer RNA is filed under the name Alosa alosa (allis shad). Its description in RNAcentral is "tRNA-OTHER". Lineage: Eukaryota; Metazoa; Chordata; Actinopteri; Clupeiformes; Clupeidae. The record is from RNAcentral.